GGAUUAUAGCUCAGUGGUAGAGUACUUGUCUUGCAUGUGAGAGGCAUUGGGUUCAAUUCUCAGCACCA
Molecule: transfer RNA, 68 nt
Filed under: Marmota monax (woodchuck)
Lineage: Eukaryota; Metazoa; Chordata; Mammalia; Rodentia; Sciuridae
Description: tRNA.Ala
Source: RNAcentral